AUUGAACGCUGGCGGCAGGCCUAACACAUGCAAGUCGAGCGGAUGAAGGGAGCUUGCUCCUGGCUUCAGCGGCGGACGGGUGAGUAAUUCCUAGGAAUCUGCCUGGUAGUGGGGGAUAACGUCCGGAAACGGGCGCUAAUACCGCAUACGUCCUGAUGGAGAAAGUGGGGGAUCUUCGGACCUCACGCUAUCAGAUGAGCCUAGGUCGGAUUAGCUAGUUGGUGGGGUAAAGGCCUACCAAGGCGACGAUCCGUAACUGGUCUGAGAGGAUGAUCAGUCACACUGGAACUGAGACACGGUCCAGACUCCUACGGGAGGCAGCAGUGGGGAAUAUUGGACAAUGGGCGAAAGCCUGAUCCAGCCAUGCCGCGUGUGUGAAGAAGGUCUUCGGAUUGUAAAGCACUUUAAGUUGGGAGGAAGGGAAGUAAGUUAAUACCUGGCUGUUUUGACGUUACCAACAGAAUAAGCACCGGCUAACUUCGUG
RNAcentral lists this ribosomal RNA (484 nucleotides) under uncultured bacterium. RNAcentral's name for it is "partial 16S ribosomal RNA". It matches the Rfam family "Bacterial small subunit ribosomal RNA", at positions 30 to 507 of the family's 1533-position model. The record is from RNAcentral.